GAUGAACGCUGGCGGCGUGCCUAAUACAUGCAAGUCGAGCGAACGGACGAGAAGCUUGCUUCUCUGAUGUUAGCGGCGGACGGGUGAGUAACACGUGGAUAACCUACCUAUAAGACUGGGAUAACUUCGGGAAACCGGAGCUAAUACCGGGUAAUAUUUUGAACCGCAUGGUUCAAAAGUGAAAGACGGUCUUGCUGUCACUUAUAGAUGGAUCCGCGCUGCAUUAGCUAGUUGGUAAGGUAACGGCUUACCAAGGCAACGAUGCAUAGCCGACCUGAGAGGGUGAUCGGCCACACUGGAACUGAGACACGGUCCAGACUCCUACGGGAGGCAGCAGUAGGGAAUCUGCCGCAAUGGGCGAAAGCCUGACGGAGCAACGCCGCGUGAGUGAUGAAGGUCUUCGGAUCGUAAAACUCUGUUAUUAGGGAAGAACAUAUGUGUAAGUAACUGUGCACAUCUUGACGGUACCUAAUCAGAAAGCCACGGCUAACUACGUG
Molecule: ribosomal RNA, 497 nt
Filed under: uncultured bacterium
Lineage: Bacteria
Description: partial 16S ribosomal RNA
Rfam family: Bacterial small subunit ribosomal RNA
Source: RNAcentral